UCCUGGUUAGCUCAUUUGGUAGAGCGCGCUCCGCUGGAGGUGGAGAGGUCCCUGGUUCGAUACCAAGACUAGGCA
RNAcentral lists this transfer RNA (75 nucleotides) under Ixodes scapularis (black-legged tick). Its description in RNAcentral is "tRNA-Ser for anticodon GGA". The record is from RNAcentral. Lineage: Eukaryota; Metazoa; Arthropoda; Arachnida; Ixodida; Ixodidae.